Molecule: long non-coding RNA, 645 nt
Organism: Neopsephotus bourkii (Bourke's parrot)
Lineage: Eukaryota; Metazoa; Chordata; Aves; Psittaciformes; Psittacidae
Exons: 2
Source: RefSeq, a predicted model, not a curated record
GUUGUCCCAUGCUCAGCUUUUAUUAGGUAAAGCAUUCAUAGAGGAACGCUGCUAAUAAGCGCUCCUAAAGGAUGCAGACAGAGCAGCGCCUGGUGAUGCUGCACGUGUUGCUGUGCCUUGUACAGUUCGCAAGGAGGAGGUGAAGAUACAAAAGCCCCUGGCACACUCAGGUAAAUACUUGGAGAGUAUAAGGCAUAUACAACUUGGGACUUAGCAACAAAUGAGCAUCCAGGAGACUGCCUUACCCUUCCUUCUGCUUGGAAAUAAUUUUCCAGACAACGCCUGCCCCUAGGAGAAGCAGGACUCCUGCAGCUACGACUCCUGAAAGAGAAGAGCAUGUAUUAUGCUCACUGUGUGUUUUAAAGUAUAUCAGAACAAAAGCUAUAACAAGGCAUAUCUUUAAAGCAAGCAGAAGGAGAUGGUGCUGCCAAAACCACUGCAUAAAGCUAAGACCUGGCCACAGAAAUGUUUCUGAGCUGCUUACCUACACCUACGGAACCAGACUUGUGUGAUGCUGAAGGGAAGAGAAGAAAUAAAAUCAGCAAAGUAUUCUAACAAAAUAUGGUGCUUCUCAUCAGUGUUUGAUCACUUUAUCAAUAAAUGUUUUACUUCUAAGGCCUACAAUAGAGAAUUUCUUAAAAACCA